RNAcentral lists this transfer RNA (81 nucleotides) under Sporothrix schenckii. Its description in RNAcentral is "tRNA-Ser". It matches the Rfam family "tRNA". Rfam says of the family: Transfer RNA (tRNA) molecules are approximately 80 nucleotides in length. Their secondary structure includes four short double-helical elements and three loops (D, anti-codon, and T loops). Further hydrogen bonds mediate the characteristic L-shaped molecular structure. tRNAs have two regions of fundamental functional importance: the anti-codon, which is responsible for specific mRNA codon recognition, and the 3' end, to which the tRNAs corresponding amino acid is attached (by aminoacyl-tRNA synthetases). tRNAs cope with the degeneracy of the genetic code in two manners: having more than one tRNA (with a specific anti-codon) for a particular amino acid; and 'wobble' base-pairing, i.e. permitting non-standard base-pairing at the 3rd anti-codon position. Lineage: Eukaryota; Fungi; Ascomycota; Sordariomycetes; Ophiostomatales; Ophiostomataceae. The record is from RNAcentral.
UGGAAAAGUAGCCAUAGGUAAGGCGAGUCAAUUGCUAUUUGAUGUCUUUUAGACCUGGAAGUUCGAAUCUUUCCUUUUCCG